GCAGUAGUAGCUCAGUGUCAGAGCAUCGGUCUUGUAAACCGAACGUCGAAGGUUAAAAUCCCUCCUGCCGCU
This 72-nucleotide transfer RNA is filed under the name Uaru amphiacanthoides (uaru). RNAcentral describes it as "tRNA-Thr". It matches the Rfam family "tRNA". From Rfam's summary of the family: Transfer RNA (tRNA) molecules are approximately 80 nucleotides in length. Their secondary structure includes four short double-helical elements and three loops (D, anti-codon, and T loops). Further hydrogen bonds mediate the characteristic L-shaped molecular structure. tRNAs have two regions of fundamental functional importance: the anti-codon, which is responsible for specific mRNA codon recognition, and the 3' end, to which the tRNAs corresponding amino acid is attached (by aminoacyl-tRNA synthetases). tRNAs cope with the degeneracy of the genetic code in two manners: having more than one tRNA (with a specific anti-codon) for a particular amino acid; and 'wobble' base-pairing, i.e. permitting non-standard base-pairing at the 3rd anti-codon position. The record is from RNAcentral. Lineage: Eukaryota; Metazoa; Chordata; Actinopteri; Cichliformes; Cichlidae.